Molecule: long non-coding RNA, 483 nt
Filed under: Ananas comosus (pineapple)
Lineage: Eukaryota; Viridiplantae; Streptophyta; Magnoliopsida; Poales; Bromeliaceae
Description: long non-coding RNA (ACOM_LNC005364)
Source: RNAcentral
UACAAAUUGAGAAUCAAAAUUACAUUUAAAACUCCUAAAACAGACUCUAUGACUUAGACGCAACUAGAAGUCUUGAAGUCUUGAUUUCCUGUAAAACAAUUCAUUAAAAAAUGAUUAACCUUAAAUUAUUAUACCUUCUCCCCCUUUGUUUUUGAUGAUCACAUCUCCCCCUUUGUUCUUGAAUUCAUCCUCAUCUCCUUUGAUUUCGAUCAACACUUGUUCAUCUAUACUCUCCCCCUUUUUGUCAAAAAUUGCCAAAGAUAAAGCAUACAAAGAGAGAAAACAUAGUAGAAAUCAUAUAGGAAUUUUUAGAGAGUGAAAGAGAGCGAUUUGAUUACGGAUUUUGGAGAGAAAUAAAUAAUUGAACCGUUUAAUAAAUUCUGUCAUGCGGUACUAAAACCUGUAUGCCAGAAUUUAAAAAUUUUGCCUCAAAAUGCUUCAUAAUAAAAUUAAUUUUAUAAAAAUUAAAGAUUUUACUCCAAA